Molecule: non-coding RNA, 98 nt
Filed under: Companilactobacillus tucceti DSM 20183
Lineage: Bacteria; Bacillati; Bacillota; Bacilli; Lactobacillales; Lactobacillaceae
Source: RNAcentral
AAUUACAAUAGUAUUUGAACUUAUAGGUUCAUCUAACGUGUAGAACGUUUCAGACUUUAGGGAAGAGUGAAACGAUUCUAUCAAGGCAUUAUCAGAAG